GAAGACUCUCGAAUGCUCCCCUUAUUUCUGCAUGCCUCAAUUUAAUUGUUUACAAAGUUGACGUAAUUUGAUAUCAUGUACUAGCUUUUGAAAUGCACACUAAGAUAGAUUUGGUUAAGAGGGGUGCCAGAUUAUCAUUUGAGCGUAUUUUUCUGACUUCGAUUUCACAAUUCUUCUUAAGCUCAUGUGUGUAGAAAAGUGUUCGUGAUAUGUGUUCAGUCAUGUUCUCUUGGAUGUAUACUCUUUUAGAGCAUUUCCAGCAGCUAAAGCUGGACUCGGGCUGGGGGCGUUUGGGCAAAAAAGUGGUUUCUAGCAACAAAAUCCAGCCCGGGCAAAUGGUGGGACCCAGCAGACUGGGCUGGCCCGAGGGCAAGGCUGAUGUCAGCGUGCUGACGUCACGUCGACGUCAGCCCUGCGUCCAAAUUUUUUUAAAUCGUCCACAUGGCGAGCGCUAGGCUCUCCGAUCAUAUUUUUUCCAACAAUCCAACAGUAGCCAAUGUUUGUGCAAUAAAAAAAAUUGAAAAAAAUGGAUAAAAAUUUAAAAAAAUACCAAAAAAAUUACUGAUUUUUUUUUUCUCUAUACCUUAUUUCCAUUUUCAACAUUUAAGUAAAUGUCUCUAUACCAAAAAAAAUGGAUAAAUGUCUUUGUCCUUUUACUUUUAUUUAUUUUUAUAUUACUCCAUUUACUUAAGUUUACAAUGUAAAUAAGGAAGUACCCCCUAUUUGGAUUCAAAUAAAAAUAGUAGAAAAUCA
Molecule: long non-coding RNA, 753 nt
Filed under: Prunus persica (peach)
Lineage: Eukaryota; Viridiplantae; Streptophyta; Magnoliopsida; Rosales; Rosaceae
Description: long non-coding RNA (PPER_LNC001925)
Source: RNAcentral